Long non-coding RNA from Oryza sativa Japonica Group (Japanese rice), 1601 nucleotides. RefSeq lists it as uncharacterized. NCBI's taxonomy places the organism in Eukaryota, Viridiplantae, Streptophyta, Magnoliopsida, Poales, Poaceae. The record is from RefSeq and is a predicted model, not a curated record.
UUUACAAAUAACUAAAAUUCAAAAUUAAAAAAAUGGGAAGAAGAGUCUAAAGUCAAUAUAGGAAUACAAUUUAGAAGUAACUGAAAUUCAAAAUUAAAAAUUAAAAAAUAUUGAAAGAUGAGUUUACACUACUAAAAAACUCUCAUAGAGACCGGUUCAUAGGUGCCGGUUCAUUUAAAACCGGCACCUAUAGAGCUUUUCCUACCUCCUUGCGGUGAAAAAAUGUAGAACCGGCACCUUUAAGAACAUUUGAACCGGCACCUAUAAUAUAGAUGCUGGUUUUUUAAAAGAACCGGCACCUAAUAAUUUUUAUAGGGGCCGGUUGUUUUUAAAAACCGGCACCUAUAGCGUUUGGCCGAGCCGAUUCGAGCCGAGCCCACGCACGGCACCCAUCGCGUCCUUAUCUAUCCCUCCCCUUCUCGAUCUCUCGCGUCUCUCUAACUCUGCUCUCUCUCUCUCUCUCGCUGUCCUCUCUCUCCCUCCCCUCUCCCGCCGUCUCGCGGUCGGCGGCUGGCCAGCGGAGGCGGCAGCAGCGGCCGCGCCCUCCCCUCCGCCAGAUCCGGCGGGAGGGGAGGCGGUGGGCUCCCGCGGCGGAGGCGGCAGCGGCGACCGCGCCCUCCCCUCCGCCAGAUCCGGCGGGAGGGGAGGCGGCGGGAUCCCGCGGCGGAGGCGGCAGCAGCGACCACGGCGGCAGCCGCCGACCACGGGCUCCCAUGGCUGGCCGGCGGAGGCCUCGCAGCGGCGGCCACGGGGUUGGCCACGGCGGAGGCGGAGGCGGCGGCGGCCGCGACCUCCCCUCUGCCAGAUCCGGCCGCCCGGUGUGCCACGGCUUGGCGCCAGCGAGGUGGGCAGGCAGCGGGUGGCGGGUGGCGUGCCACGGCUUGGCGCCAGCCGCUAGGGCCCAGGGGCGAGGGCGCACCGGCGCGGGCAGGGGCGCAGGGUAGCGAGCGCCGAGCCGCCGACCAGGGCCACAGCGGCACGGCCGGAGCCGCACAUCGCCCCUGAACACAUCGUCACAGCCACACAGUAUACAGUUUAGUUGGCGGCGACAGGGUAGGGGGACGGCCAGCGAGGAUGACUGGGAUUGAGCGAGCUCCGUUGCUGCUGGUUGCCUGCUCUGGCUUCUCAAACAUCUCAAGCAAAAGCAACUCUUAUUAUGGAAAACAUGCAUCUUCAUAUACUUCCAACGAUGAACCCUGAUGGAUUUGCUCUUAGAAGACGUGGUAAUGCAAACAAUGUUGACCUCAACGGAGAUUUUCCUGACCAAUCAUAUAAAUUCCAAGAAUCAUGAUUCUGGAAGGGAGAAAACUUGUGCACCCAGUGUUGGACAUGGAAACAAGAUUAACAAGGUGAUGCCUUGCUUUAUUAUUUCAACUUAAUUUCUCUCAAGUUAACUUUGUAUUGCCUUUGUUUGAAAGUAUGGAAUUGAUGUAAACAUUUGGAGAUGGAAUUGAUGUAUGAUAACUUGAAUGUGUGGAGAUGGAUUGCAUUUAUGUGUGUAUGUUUGGAAAUUUUUGGAUUUGGGGUGAUGUGAAUCUGUGAAUUGAUGUUUGGAGAUGGAUUACAUAUAUUCUGUGAAUUGAAGUGGGUUUUUGUGUGUA